CCUGCACCUGAGGGGAGAAAGGGGGAGGCCAGGAGUGAGUCAUUUUGGUUGCAGAGGGAAGAAAGACAGGACUUAGGUCAGUGCCUGGGCUUGGCCUCUGACUGGUUAUUUGUCUGACCUG
This is a small nucleolar RNA of Pongo abelii (Sumatran orangutan), 121 nucleotides long. NCBI's taxonomy places the organism in Eukaryota, Metazoa, Chordata, Mammalia, Primates, Hominidae. The record is from Ensembl.